UUCUUGGAAACAGCCAACAUCCAGUUGGAGCUUUUGGCUGCUGUUGUAUCCUGAGCUGGUGGCUUCAGGGAAGUGUCCAUGGCAAUGCUGUGCUCUCCUUCCCAAGCUGCAGCUGGCAGCUCUGAGCCCAGCAGAGACUGAAGAGGACCGGGGUGUUUUCUGGUGUCUUUGUGUUUUAGUAAGAGAUUGUAGUGAACUGCAGGGAGAAAGGCUGAUGAGUCAGUAAGAAACAGCCAACAUAUUCCAGGAGAAUAAUCUCAGGUGUAAUUAUUAACAGGUUUAUGUUUUAUGGAACAGGUGUUUGGUGUUUUUUGUUAAUGUUUUUUUUUUAAAGGCACAGCAUCUUCUCUAGCAUUACUCGUAGAGCAUUAUUUAUCCUAGAGAGGAGAGUGCAAAUAACUUGAUUGUGUCUUUUCAGCGCUCUCUUCUUGAUGCUCCCCAUUCUCUCUCACUGCAGCAGCGCUUCCUGAGGGAAUCUGCAUCCUCUGCCUGAUUUCUCUGAUUGCUGGAGCUGCUGAACUUCCUACAGAAGAGGCCCAGCAGCAGCAGGUAGGGUGAGGCAGCCGCUGAAGAAACACUCCCAGGUAUGGACAGUGCUUGAAUACCCACGUGGCUUUUUUUCCUUUUUCCUCCACCCAACCAAUGAACUUCGUGUGACCCCUCCCAGCAGCGCCGCUCAUUUGUUUAAUCAGCGAUUAAACUGGAAUUUUACUUCGCUUCCAAACACGCUCUAUCAGUCCUUACAUUCCCUUCCAUUUAUUUAUUUAUUUUGAACUAGAGGGAAGGCAGUAGAAAAAUACAUCAUUAAAGCAGCGUGGCAUAACUUAAAAGGAGAAACCAUCACAGAUGUGGUGACUGUGGGACUGAGGAGGCUUUAAGCCCUGCAGAAAACUGCUGUUCCAGAAGGACAGAACGUAGGACCCAGCAUCUGUUAGGAAGAAGUUAUGGCACAAGUGCCCUUGUUGGCUCUUGCAGUCCUUUCCAAGCUCUCCUUUAGGCACAGUUUAAGACAUUAAGACUGACUUUGACACAGCACGUGUCAGCACCACAACAAAGAAAACCAAGCAAACCACACCCAAGUGUGAACCCUGCAGGUAAAGUGCAAUAAAAAAAUGAGUGCUGGUAUCUUGCAAGAUCAAUGCAGAUUUCUUUUCUUCCUUGUUGUGUUUCUUUUUAAAAAUACUGCUUGUUUUCAUCAGUGAAUGCAGAACUCACCCCAUGAUUCCAUGAGCUCUUUUCUGAGUAGAAAAAGCAAACUUAGACCUCAUCAUUGUGUAAUUACAGCCAAGCUAGCUUUGCCCCUUCAUAUUUGCAUUCAUUAGCAUUUUGUUUUGCCUGUAGCUUGAUUGCCCAGUGGUGUGAGAUCCUUUCCUGACUCUUUCCAGACAGUUUGGAUGCCCUGAGUAGUUCCACAUCCAUAUCAUGAGUAGAUUUCUCACUUCACUGUUUACUUAUUUUCCAGCUCACUGGUGACUCUUGUACAAUUUGGGCCUCUGCACAGAUGCAUGCUUUGUUAUUGCUCUACACGUUAGAGGUUUAUAAAACAAGUCUGUAGUUACGGUGUGACUUGGUGUGCCCAGCACAGUGCAGGCCUGCAGAGAUUAACUGAUUUUAUCCAUCUCCUUCCUGGGGCUUAUUGGUUGCUGUGAGGCACUUUGGAUUUGAUUUGCCUGCUGAAAGGUGCAAUUGCUGAUCUGGCCGCUGAGGAAUCAUCACCACCACCAGCGCAUCUCCUGGCAAAGCAAAGCACCUCCUUUCAUAGAAGCUGCUGAGUCUCAGGCGCCUUUCCCUAAACAGGGGAUUUUUGGUGGAGUUAAACAUUAACACUGUUCACAGUUCCCAUCUGUUCAAGGUCCAAGAGAGAAGCUGUGCUGAGUCAGCCCUGGCAGCUGUAUUUCCUGCUCCAGUUCUCUCCUUUUGCAUGAUUCACUCACUCCAACUCCCUGCCAGGAAGCCUUGGUCCUGGGUGAGACAGUAAGAGGCAGAGGGAUCUCCUGCUGUCCUGCACCAGGAUACUGGAGACCAGCUCCUGUGUGUCCUGGCUGCCCUGCGAGUAAUGUUGGUGCUGCAAGGAAAGGAGGGAAACUCACAGUCACCAAAAGACUUGCUUGAGCUAUUCAGGAAUUUUCUUUGGCUGUUAGCAGUCCUGUGCUCUUGCCACAUGGCAUUUUUCCUUCCAGGCAGCGCUGGACAAUGGCUGUGAAUGCAUGGGCAGCUUAUUGUUUGGCUGCGUAUGUUGCUUUCAUAUGGGCACUUGAACUAAAAGGGUAAAUCCUUUGAACUGUGGCGUUUUCAAGAGCGCAGCACAUUAGCCGGGAAGGAGGGUGGGCAGAUGAGAAGAGCUGUUGUAUUUAAUAUUGCUGCCACAGUAGUACACUGCAGCACUGCCAGGACUUUGGGCGUAGCCAGUCUGACAUGGGAAACAUUGUUCAGUGCUGUUGCCUGGCUGCCGCUUGGAGCUGGAGCUCUGUGCUGCCUGCUUGGUGCUGAGGGUUGGAGUCAGACCCAGCAACUGCUGCUCAUCCACUUGGAGAGGCACCGAUGCCACCCCGGUGGGUUUGGUUCUGCCUGGACAGCACUCAGUUUGCUUCAGCACCGGUGGCAGUUUGUGAAAUUGCAACUGCAGGAUCUGCUGAGCUCAGACCUGCAAACAGAGCCAAGAGUCUCUCUGGCUUUGGAUAAAACUUUGCUGUGGUUACAUGGAUCAUGUGAUGGCGCAGCUGAUCUUUCCAGCAUUCGGUGCUCUUGCUUUAGGCUUCCUCAGCUGUGCAAAGAGUUCAAAAAUUGUCCCCCUGUAUAACUGCUACUUAUUGAUACUAGGACAACAACUUCCAGGAGUUGUUGAGGAAACUCCUCUGCCUGCAUUCCUGUUUAUCAGAGACUCCUUCCCCGCAUGCCAGCCCAUCCACAAAGCCUUCAACAUCCCCAGCUGUGGGAUUUCUGAACAGAUGCAGCUCCUCCCUGCAGCACAGUGGCUCCCUUCCCUGCUCAGGACAGCGUGCCACGUCGGUCAGUUCCUCAAGAGCUUUGGCUGCCAGAAUCGAGUGAGUUAAAUCAGGUCUAAGCUGCACUCUGAGUCCUCUUCAAGACAUGUUGACAGAGAAAUGUAUGCCUUGAAACAACUUGAAAAGAAGAACUGUAGGAAGGGAAAAGAGUAGGAAAAGGCAUCGGCUGUGAGCGCCUGCCCUCUCCUGAGAUCUCUCCCCCUGCAAAGAGUGCAGCCCUGGCUCCUCUGUGACCUCUUUCUUCCUGCAGGGUAAUGAAAGUCAGCACGCUGUAAUGGCAGGCUGAAAGUCAGCUGCUCUGCCACAGGGUUUGUCCUCCGGAUAGAUGAAAGGAAAGUGGUUUGGUGUCCAAACGACUGUCACAGCUUUAAAGAAGAAUUAAAGCCAGAUGUUUCCAACCAGCCUGCUGAGAACAGCCUUUUCUGACAUUUUUGCCAAGCCAUCAAGGAGACCCAGCCAGUGUCUGCAGUGCUGCAUGUUGGGAAAAUGCUGUGAUCCCAAAAGCUGUGCUGCAGUUGCUGGAGCACCCAGGCUGUGCAUCCACAGGGCUGGGACACAGUGCUGCCAGCUCAGUGGUUGUGCACCAUGUAUCAGUAUUUACUCCUCACUGAUAAUGGAGAUGAUAGCAAGAUCGUAGUGAACACAUCAAAUUCAACACUUUUUGCCUUGGGAAAAGGUACUGUAGGUAUUGAAGGUAUUGUAACUGGGCUGGCAUCAGCUCUCAGGUUGGUGGCUUGUAAUGGUCAAUAGAGUCCAGAAAGUCAUCCCUGUCCCUGGCUGUGCUUGGGCUGAUGUUCAGUCUAACAGGCAGAUAGAGCUUUGCCACAGUGGGAUCCCAUCAGAACAAGGAAGAAUGCAUUUUAGUCUCUCCUCACACACACAGCGUUUGUAUUCAGCUGCAACUGAAGCCAGUGACUGUUCCUGUGUGGGUAGAAGUGAGGUGAAAGCUGAGGAAUAGGGAAACGGGAUCCUUGCCUCGCUGUAAUCAGGGAGAGAUCUGCACUUCCCACUUUGCUGGGAGUAACCCAGACCUCAGGACUGCUGGGUGUGUGGUUCCAGCUCACACCCAGAGGUAAUUAAUCUUUUUGCCAGCGUAGCUGCUCCAGGCUUCUGACUACAAUAAGUAUUGCUCUUUGCCUUUGUCAGCCUGCCUUGCGGUUACAGCGUUCACCUUCUGGCCUCUUCAGGAUAAAUUCCUGAUGCUGUGCCCUCAGCGCUGCUUUGAGGUGGAGUUUCCUCUUGCGAAAUCAGUGGGCGCUGGAAAUGUCCUCUUGGCUCCAGUGCCUGGGAAAGGUUUUGCUCAGUGUUCUAUGGGGAUGUGCCGCAGCCUCCUCUUCCUCCUGCCAGCAUGUUUCCUCCUCUGGAGCAGCAGAUGAGGUGCUCCUGAGAUGCCAUGUGCCACCGGAUCACUGUCUGUAGCAGGGAAGUAAAUGAUAAAUUCAGAAGGUGCAAAAAUAAAUAGAGAAGAGGAAAGAUAGGAUGCAGAAAAUCCCAGUUUUUACUGGCAUCCACUCAUAAUCAGAUAAUUUGACCAAUAACGAAAAAUAAACCCCUCUCUCAUCUGACUCUACAAAGCCGAGCCAUAAAAAGGAGCUUUCUUCCGUGCCCUUCAUUUGUUCUCACAAUACAACAUCUCAUUUCAGCGUGUGCAUCAAUUCAUUCUGCUCCGCCACAUCACGGACAGAGGCACGAUUGUUUCUGCUGCGAUUCCAAAACCAACUGUGCAGAGAAAGCCUUUGGGAGCUGCUUGGUGAGGCGGGCAUUGGGCUGCUGGCACUUCGGGUGGAGCUCAGGGAAAGCUGUCGGCCUCACCACCCUCCUGUGCAUCUCAGAUGUGCCGAUCAGUGAGAUGCCUGUGGGAUCUGCCAUCUGGGCCAUCAAUUUGAGGCACAGCUUGUGCCACCACCUCUAAUCUCUUCAAUGGACUUCGAUUACCUCUCUGGCUCAAACUCGUGCGAUUUGCUGGGCUGUAAUUGCAGGAAUCCCCUCGGUGGUGUCACUGCUGCUGGGUCCCUGUGAGCAGUGAGUGGAAGAGUGCAAUCCUUGUGCUCACGAACCACAGAAUCGUUAAGGUUGGAGAAGGCCUCUAUGGUCAUCCAGUCCAACUCCAACCCACCCCACCAUGCCCAUAACCACGUCCCUCUGUGCCACAUCUCCAUGGUUCCUGAACCCCUCCAGGGAUGCUGACUCCAUCACUCUCUGGGCAGCUGUGCCACUGCAUCUCCACUCUUUUGGAGAAGGAAUUUUUCCUACUGUCCAUCCUGAUGCCUCCAACAGCGGAGAUUUGUCCCUUCCUGUCAGUCAGAAACUUGUCUCCAACGUGAGAGUAUCUCCAAUAUGAAUCCACUAUGUGGUGCACAGAGUAAGAGACUGAAGUUCCAGUGGGCUCAGCUGAGCCCUUCCCACGUGGAUGCGGUGACACUGGGUGUACAGUGGUGGAUUUGUGCCAUUUCUGUAUCAGUGCCAUCUGGAUGAAAUCCUGCGGUGGCCGAAGGCCUCUCCUCGUCUCCAUGCGCUCCCCCAGUCGUGGGAGCCCCAGUUCGUUCCCCUGACGAAGGGCUGAGGGCGAAGGAUCAGAAUUUGGGCUUAUUUCCGUCAAACAAAGCGCCAGGACCACGCUUGGCGCCCGGCUCCGGCGCAGCGACCUCCAGUCCGCAGGGGGGCGCUGC
Long non-coding RNA from Tympanuchus pallidicinctus (lesser prairie-chicken), 5674 nucleotides. RefSeq lists it as uncharacterized. NCBI's taxonomy places the organism in Eukaryota, Metazoa, Chordata, Aves, Galliformes, Phasianidae. The record is from RefSeq and is a predicted model, not a curated record. The transcript has 3 exons.